Molecule: ribosomal RNA, 378 nt
Filed under: Triticum aestivum (bread wheat)
Lineage: Eukaryota; Viridiplantae; Streptophyta; Magnoliopsida; Poales; Poaceae
Description: partial small subunit ribosomal RNA
Source: RNAcentral
AUGUUCGAGUAUCUAAAUGUUGUCAGCAAGAUGUUUGAUAGUGAGGCUGAAGGCUAUGAAUUCUACAACAAAUAGGCUCUUGAAAAAUGUUUUAGUGUGAGGAAAAGCUACGUUGAGUGGGAUGGAUCCAACAAAUACAUAAUUUUAAGGAAAAUUGUGUGUAGUCAUCAAGGGUUUCGCGAAGAGAAGCACAUGAAAAGAAUGAUGGAAGAUAGAAAGAGGAGGCCACGAAGUUUAACUCGUGUUGGGUGUAAUGCUAAAUUGGUCAUUACGAGACAGGAGGAAACCGGUCUGUGGUUUGUCAAGGAUUUCAUCGAUGAGCACAACCAUCCUCUAGCCCCACGGGAUCUUUCUUGUCUGCUGCGUUCACACAGAUGA